This 500-nucleotide ribosomal RNA is filed under the name uncultured bacterium. RNAcentral's name for it is "partial 16S ribosomal RNA". It matches the Rfam family "Bacterial small subunit ribosomal RNA", at positions 30 to 523 of the family's 1533-position model. The record is from RNAcentral.
AUUGAACGCUGGCGGAAUGCUUUACACAUGCAAGUCGAACGGUAACAGGGUGCUUGCACCGCUGACGAGUGGCGAACGGGUGAGUAAUGCGUCGGAACGUGCCGAGUAGUGGGGGAUAACGCAGCGAAAGUUGUGCUAAUACCGCAUACGUACUGAGGUAGAAAGUGGGGGACCUUCGGGCCUCACGCUAUUCGAGCGGCCGACGUCUGAUUAGCUAGUAGGUGAGGUAAAGGCUCACCUAGGCGACGAUCAGUAGCGGGUCUGAGAGGAUGGUCCGCCACACGGGGACUGAGACACGGCCCAGACUCCUACGGGAGUCAGCAGUGGGGAAUUUUGGACAAUGGGCGAAAGCCUGAUCCAGCCAUGCCGCGUGUCUGAAGAAGGCCUUCGGGUUGUAAGGGACUUUUGUCAGGGAGGAAAUCCCUAGUGCUAAUAACACUGGGGGAUGACAGUACCUGAAGAAUAAGCACCGGCUAACUACGUGCCAGCCGCCGCCGUAA